Molecule: transfer RNA, 82 nt
Filed under: Schistocephalus solidus
Lineage: Eukaryota; Metazoa; Platyhelminthes; Cestoda; Diphyllobothriidea; Diphyllobothriidae
Rfam family: tRNA
About the family: Transfer RNA (tRNA) molecules are approximately 80 nucleotides in length.
Source: Rfam by way of RNAcentral
GGUCUCGGAGCUCAUUUGACUAGAGCGCUGGUUGUAUUAAAGCCUUCCCUUGCUGGCAUGGGUUCAAAUCCCGUCGAGGCCA